RNAcentral lists this ribosomal RNA (615 nucleotides) under Triticum aestivum (bread wheat). Its description in RNAcentral is "partial small subunit ribosomal RNA". The record is from RNAcentral. Lineage: Eukaryota; Viridiplantae; Streptophyta; Magnoliopsida; Poales; Poaceae.
AUGCUAAUGUGUAUAUAUAUGUGUACAAUAACAGAUCCAGCUACAAGGGCCCGGGUUGCCAAGAACGCACGGAGAAGAGCAGCUUAUAAAAAGAAAAAAGAAGACGAAGGGUACCAAGAACAGAUCGAUAAGUUGAACACACGCAGACGGGAAUCUUACCAGAAGAAGAAACAACAUGACACAAGAGAACAAAGAGAAAAUAUAAAUGCACAGAGGCGAGCAGCUUAUCAGAAGAAGACACAAGACGACACAAACACUGGUCAUGUCUUAUCACAACAGCAAAGAGAUAUUAUAAAUGCAAAGAGGCGAGCCACUUACAAGGAGAAGAAGGAACAAAUAAACACGCAAAGACGUGAGACAGAUCAGAAACAUCGAGAUAGCUUGACACCAGAGCAGAAAGGGGAGAUGAGUGCUCAGCGCCGACAACGGGAGAAAGCUAUGCGGAACACCCCGUGUGCUGAAUCCAUUGCGAUGCCUCGUCCUGAUUUAGCAACCUCAGCUGCGGCAAGCACAUGCGGUCACACCUUCAAAACUUACGGUAUUUCUCGCAUGUGUACUCCACAUCUUUUGUUCGUAUGCAUUAAACAAAUAUUUACUUGCUUCGUAUCGGUGUAG